GAAAUAUGACCGAAUCGCUUAUGCCACAACAUAGAGGAUGAUUCACGAAUUAAAGCCCUUUUCUUUGAUACAUUUGUAACACACGAGACAUCAGCAAAAGAAGCCAAAGAUAAUUUAUAUAAACCAUCACAUAAAAUGCCAUUUCCAAUCAAACGAGAAUCAUUAAAUAACUUAACCAUUCCAUUACCAAAAUUAAAUGUAAAACCAC
RNAcentral lists this long non-coding RNA (208 nucleotides) under Olea europaea (common olive). RNAcentral describes it as "long non-coding RNA (OEUR_LNC005933)". Lineage: Eukaryota; Viridiplantae; Streptophyta; Magnoliopsida; Lamiales; Oleaceae. The record is from RNAcentral.